RNAcentral lists this long non-coding RNA (43597 nucleotides) under Vitis vinifera (wine grape). RNAcentral describes it as "long non-coding RNA (VVIN_LNC000011)". Lineage: Eukaryota; Viridiplantae; Streptophyta; Magnoliopsida; Vitales; Vitaceae. The record is from RNAcentral.
UCAAAGGGCCCUUGCAAAGGUUUCCAAGGUGGGUUUCUUCUCUACAUGACCUGGUGAGAAUACGCCUAAAAUGGUCUUCACUCACAGAAGACAACCCAAUUGCAGCCCUUGAAGAUCUCCCAAACUUGAUGGAGCUGCAGUUACUUGAUGCAUACACUGGAGACCAGUUCGAUUUCAACAAGGGAAAAUUUCAGAAGCUUAAGAUAUUAGACCUUGAGAGAUUGGAACGACUGAAGUUUAUCAUAAUGGAAGAUGGCACAUUGCCUUGCCUACAAAAGCUGAUCAUAAGGCAUUGCAAGGAGCUGAAGCAGGUUCCCAUAGGUAUUGACAACCUCAAUCAUCUCAAUGAACUGUUUCUCUGCGAUAUGCCUGAGAAAUUCGUGGCCCAGCUAAGGAAAAAAGUCGGUGAACUUCGCCAUCUGCUUCAUCGUAUUUCGUAUAUUCGUUCAUAUCAAGGCCAGUCGAUGGAAGAUCUUUCAUGAGCCAUGACCAUAUACAGUACAUCUGAGACAUGCACCAGUGCAGCAAGAAUCAGGUCUAUAUAUAUAACAAUGUUAAUUAAGGUGUAAGUUGUUGGGAGAAUUAUCAUAUGGGUGGGCUGAUGUGAUAAGUACUAGGAAGACUUGCUCGUAUCAAGGAUUUUUAGAGCACAAUUUUACUAUUGAAUAUGUUUUCUAUAUUAUUUAUAAAUAAAUUUGAGAUUGCUGGAGUCAUACAUGAUGAUAAGUACAUAUAAUUAAUAGUACAUUUCUCAUGCCUGAAAAAAUAGUUGUUCACUUUUGAACAAUCAAGGGGACUGUUUAAAAAUUUGCUAUUUUUUUUUAAAUUGAAAUUUUUUAAAGAACCUUGUAAAAAAAAUAAUUUUCAAUAUCUCAUAAAUAAAAAUCGUAUCCUAAGGUUAUUAUAUUGUUUUAUAUAUGCAUGGAACAUAUAAUUAAAAACGUUGUUACCAUAAUAGAAUGAAUAAUUAUUUUUUGCAAGCACUCUUCAAUUGAAUAAUAUAUAAAUAUUCAAUUGACUAACAUACACCUAUUAAAUGGAAUAACUCACAAUUAUUCAUUGGGUAAUAUAACACAUGAAAAAAUUAAACAAAAAUAAAUUAAAUUAUGUUGUAAUAUAAUGUAAUAAUAGUGUAUUUGUAUUGUAAGUAUAAUGCAUUUAUGUCAUAUUUAUAUUUCAUUACAAAAUUAAUAAUUCUAAAAAUGCUUAUUUAUACCCUAUUGGUAUUAACACAUCGUAUCAAUAUAUUAACAACAUUUAUCUAGUGUACUGAAAUUAUUUAAUAAUUUUUGUAUAUAAAAAAAAAACUACAAGUCUCGUGAAUUCAAAUUAGUAUUUCAUUUGAUUUUAGACAUUAUUUAUAAUAUAAGUAUGUUAUGAAAUAUGGUAUGAUCAUACAAAAUUAUCAUUUUUAUAAAAAAUUUCAAAAUUUUUUUAAUUAGGUUUUAUUGUAAUGUAAGUGUAUUUAUAUUGUAAUUAUAACACACUAUGGAAAGGAAAAAAAAAAAAGAAAAAAGAAAAAAGAAAAAUCAUAUAAAUUUUUAAAAAUGAUUUUAUUAGAAAAAAUAAAAAAUGAUUAAACAUUCUCCAUCAUUUUCUUAUUCUUUUUAGAUAAUCUAAAUGAAAAAUUAAAUAUUUUAUCUUCCUUGAAUUUAAUACAAAAUCAUAAUUUAUCAAUUUAAAAUUAAUAUAUAUAUAUAUAUAUAUAAAAUUUAUUUUUUUCUUAAUAAAAUUAAAAAUUAGAAUAAAAAAAUGUAAAAAAAAACACAAUAAAUGAUAUUUUGAAAAUAUUUUUGUUUUAAAUAGUAAAUUUAAAUAACAAAUUAUACUAUCAUUAUAUAUAAUAAUUGUAAGGGUUAAACCCAAAAUUUUGAUUUAAAAUUUGAAUAUUAAUAAUUACAAUAAAUGUGGAGUCCACGCACUAUAAAUGUCUUGAUAAAUCAAGUGAAAUACUUUAAAUAUUUUGAAUUUUAAAAGUUUUAGUUAAAGGAUAGUUUUAGCAUUUAAGCCUAGCUAUUAUUGUCCUCUCAAAGAAUUAUUAAAAGAAACCACCACUCUUUUAAUUAUCCCAUCCAGCCCACCCAAUACCGUAAUUCUCCCUAAGUUGUUCUAUUAAUAAGAUGAAUAUAUCUAGUUGUAAGCAUUUAAUUUCUCUAAAAUUUUCAUUAUUUUUAAGUAUUUUGUUUUUAUCUUUUUUAAGUAGUGUGCUCACUGUAUGAUCAAAUUGAUAUAAACUGUCAUGAACAGUAGUCUAUCUCAAGAUCUCUCAAGUCAAGGAUCAAUUUGAAGGAUGUAAUAUGUCGUGUCAAUUAACGAUCAAGCAUUUUCAGAGUGUAUUUGAAAAUUCUUUUUUAAAAUAAUUUUAUAUUUUUACAAAUAGAAAAUAGUUUUUUAACUUAAAAAACAACACAAUUGAUCAAUUUUUGAAAACAGAUUCCGUCCAAAAGGCAACAGUGUCUAACAAAAACAAGUGUGUUUUAUGUAAAUAAGUGAUAUGAAAAGAUACCAAGAAAAGAAUGAAAAAAAUCAUAAAACUUAUAGACAAAACAAUCACCAUGAAGACCUAAUUAUUCACGAUUAAGUCUAUCUUAAAAAUUCAAAUACAUGUAAUUCUCCAUUGCCAAUGAAGUAUGAGAUCACAAACAAGGGAUUUAAUGAAGAUCUCUUUCAAUCUUUGAUUUGAUGUCUUUUACGUUAAAAAUCUUCUAUCAUAUAUGCUUAAUGUCUUCACUUGCACUAAAAAAUGCACAAGGGAGCCAUGUAUCGAAUCUUUGAUUUGUGUUUUUUUGGCAAAGGUACAUAGGGAGUUCUAGGUCCUAAUAUGGUAGGGUGUUAGGUUCCACAUACAAGAAUUCAUUGUUAGUCGUAAGAGUUAUGGCAAGAAAAAUCAUAGUAUGUGUUAAAUUCCAUUUUUUGCGAAUUACAAAUACUAUUGGUAGGAGGCAUUCUAGUCUUAGCAAGACCUUUCCUACAUGGUUGCUUCAUUUUACCUUUUACUCAUGGGUGAGGUAGGCUUUAUUGGGGUGUUGGACUUAUAAUGCUUGAAUUAUUUUUAGAUUAGUUUCGUAUAGAUUAUGAGUUGGGUUAGUAGCUUAUAUAAAAAUUAAUAUUAAUUAAUAAUGGUUUGAUUUGGAUGAGCUUAUAUAUAUAUGAGUUGGGUUUGAUGAACUUACAUAUAAUGAACUAGGUUAUUGGGUUUUGGUUUAUUUUAGUUAUUUUUAGGCUUGAUUGUAAGUACCGACAAUUUUGAGGAAAAAAAAAUGACAAAUCAUAGUUUUAUAAGUAAUAUGUAAUGCACCAAACCCAAUUUAGGGGUAAAAUCGUAAUUUAAAAAUUAUUAAUUAAUUAAAGUAAUUUAAUAAGAAUAAAAAUAUCUUUUUAUAUUUAAAACCCCUAUAUAUAAAUUAUAUUUUUCCUAUAUUCUCUAUUCAGAAAACCCUUUUACACAGAGAGUAUAGGGUUGAAGGUUUGAAGGUUUAGGGUUUGAAGAUCAAUUUUUCAGGUGAGAUUUUUAAUAUUUAAAUUAAUAUUUUAUAUUCGCUAAUUAGUUUUAAACACUUUAGAUAUUCUUUGGAAUAUCUCAAUUUUGAUUAGAGUUCGUUUAAUUAAUUUCUAGAUAAAAAAGAUUAAAAAUUUAUGAGCAUAGUUUGAUUUAUUAAUGGAGAUCAAUAAAUUUUGAUUACUCAAAUAAAUAGAUCUAGAUAAAUUUUUUUUUUUAAAAAUUAUAUAAUUUUGGAUGUGAAAAUUACAUAAAAUUGUGAGUAUGGAGGUUAAAAGUUUUGACUUUAAAGAGGAAAAAAAAAAAUGAAGCGUAGGAAGGAUUUGACAUAUUGAAAAAAAAAAAAAAAAGAAUUGCAUAGGGUAUUUGUUAAGUUUCAGUAGGAGAUUUAAAUAAUAGUAAUAAUAGUUUAAUGUAAAUAAAUAUUCUUAAAAGAUUUAUUUUAGAUAAGUUAGAAAAACUGAAAUAAAUUAUUGUUUAGGAAGUUGAAAAUAAUAUUGGAUGAUAAUAAUAUUAAUAUGAGAAAUUAAUUAGGAUCCCUAAUACUAAAUAAAAUAUUUUUAGAAUUUUCAAAUUUAUAUGUUUGGAUAAAUAAUCAAUAAUCAAUAUCGUGUAUGAUAUUAUGUUAGAUGAAGAGAAAAUUCUUCAGAGUUAAAUACUUCAAGAUUUUGAGUGUUUUUUCAAGGUAAGGGAAAUUAAUGCAAAUUUUUACAGAAGAAAAUAAUUUCCUUUUUAUAUUGUAUUUUGAAAAGUGUAAAAAUAUUAUUUUUAUCUUUUUGCAUGGAUCAAAUAUGUGUUUUGUAUGGAAAAUAUUUUUUUGAGAAUUUUCUUUGUUUAUGAAAAAUGAAAAAAUGAAAGUUUGAAUUAAUGAAAUAAAGUGUUUGACUUUGGUUGCUAUGGCCCUAGUCAACGGGUUAUAAUUGUUGACAUUUGUAUGACCCUAAUCAACGGGUUAUAAUAGUUAAUAUUAUAUGGCCCUAGUCAACGGGUUAUAAUAGUUGACUUUAUGACCUUAGUCAACGGGUUAUAAUUGUUGAUAUUUGGUUUUGUUCAUCUUAACUAGAACAAAUUUGAAACUAGCCACUCAUUUGUGAAGUCUUACCUAAUUGGGCACCAUUUGUUAUUUGAUAACUAGAGUAAAAAUAUUUUGAAUGUAUUUGAUUUGGUUUUGAUGAGAAAUUGUUUUGAAAUGGAUAUGAGAAAGUUUUGUUGAAAAGUUUGAAUGUAUUAGUAUUUUGAAUUCAAAAGUUUUUAUGAAAAUAAGUAUAUGUUAUAUCUUCUAUUUGCAAACACAAUUGAAAAUGUUUGAUUCAUGAAACUGCAUUGAUGUUCCUUAUUGAGCUUUAAACUCAUGUCUCUUUGUUGAUAAUUUUUCAGGUACUUUCAGUUCGGAUAAGGAGUGAUGGCUAGACUUGGGAUUUUUUUUUCUUUGUUAGGAUUUUGGUUCAAACUUUAUUUUUGGACAUGGUUUAAAUGUUAAAAUUUAAUUCCCGUUUAAAUUAUUUGAAUUUGGAGUUAUUUGGACAAUAACACUCUGGUUGAUGUGUUAGUUUUUUUAAAGUUGAUACUUGGAGAUUUUAGAAUUUUGUCCUACUACUCUAAAUAGGAAUUUGGUAAUUGGUAAAUUUCCAGUUACAAUAUGAAUGUUUGUGUCAUUUCCACUUUAAGCCUUUGGGUUUGAGGUGUAAAAUGACCAUCAUGCCCUUGAAGUGGAUUUUGGGUCGUGACAGUUUUUGUAACGACCCACACUCAACCAUGUAUAUAUUGUCCGCUUUGAGCCCAAACCCUCAUGUCUUUAAAACGCGUUUACUUGGUUAAAAAGAGCAUCUACAUAUAUAGCGCCAGAAACAUUCUCCCCUAUCCAAUGCGGGACAUCACAAACACCCCCUAUACAGACACAACGUCCUCGUUAUGUCUCAUGGGAUUGCGGGGCCAAAUAGACAAACACCUCUUAUGGGGCCAAACAAACCCCCACACCGGGGUCGGGGAUCGGCUCUGAUACCAUUUGUAAUGACCCACUCCCAACCGUAUAGAUAUUGUCCGCUUUGGACCCAAAGGGCCCUCACGACUUUAAAAGUCGUCUACUUGGUUAGGAGAAGCCUUUACAUAUAUAGCGUUAGGAACUUUUCCCCAUAUCCGAUGUGGGAUGUCACAAACACCCCUCCAUGCAAACACAACGUCCUCGUUGUGUCCCACGGGAUUAUGGGGCCAAACAGGCAAACACCACUUACGGGGCCAAACAAACCCCCACACCGAGGUCGGGGAUUGACUUUGAUACCAUUUGUAACGACCUGCUCCAAACUGUAUAGAUAUUAUCCGCUUUGGACCCAAAUGGGUCCUCACGACUUUAAAAUGCAUCUACUUGGUUAAGAGAAGCCUCUACAUAUAUAGCGUUAGGAACUUUCCUCCUUAUCUGAUGUGGGAUGUCACAUAAUAUAUAUAGAUAUAAUUGAUAUGUGACAUUAACUUUAGGUGGAUUCACUACAAUUAAUUUUAAAAUUAACAAGUUAAGGUGAUAUUUGUUUUUUUACUUUUUCGUGACUUAUUAUAAACUUUUUACUAAAUAGAAAAAAAUCAAAAUAUGUAACUUUUUCUAAAUAGAAAAAAUAACAUAUUAAUUUUUCUUUACUUUUUAAUACUUAAUAAAAAUAAAAUACUACAAAAACAAAUAAUAUAAUAUUUAACAUUAUUAAACAUUAAGGUUCUAUUUAAAAUUAAGUAAAAAAACAAAUAUCACCUAAGUGUGCUUCAAGUUGUCAAAGCUUUUAUCGGGACUAACUCAAAUCUCUAUCAAAUCUCAUGGAACAGCCAACAAAUAAAUUGUUAGAUUCCUCCAUAUAUUUACCAUUGCCCCUUUCUAAGAUUUUUUUUUUUUUUUCUUCCAAUUUACUGUAGAGGUUAAAAAACCCUUCCUUUUCAAAAUCAAUGUUUGGGUCCUAUGCCUAGCUUCAGAGCAAUAACAACACGGAGAGGACCGGGUCUUAUGUUGAUUUUUAAGCUCUAUGUGACUCAUUGGUGGACUCUUUUUUUCCUUUUGGUAUCCAAUAGAAGAGACCCGGCAAUUUACGUGUUUGGUUGGAGUAGAUGAACCCAAGGCCUUGUGAGCAUCCACCUGGUUCAAUCUCCAUCGUAUAAAUUUUAAAAGCCACGCAAUUCAGAAUUUUCAACCAUGGAAGACGGCACGCUUUACAUUGUACGAAGGCCAAAGUCAAAGGGCUGAUCACAUGGAACUUUCAGACUGGAUUUUUCUUGAGAAAAUAUUUGGACGAAGCUAGGAAGGCGGCCAUAUUACCAUAUUGUCUUUGCUAAAUUGCAUAUAAUUACUAUGGAACCAUUUCCAAAUGAAUAAGUUGUGUUUCAAAAGUUGUAUAACCAAAAACUUUUAUUACGAACUAAGUCAAUACUCCACUAAAUUCAAGGGAUUGUCAGAUUCAGUUUACAGCAGAAAAGAAAAAUUCAAUUAAUCUUGUUAAAACACAGGACAAGAUUAAUUCUAUGUGAACCAGUGACAUGAAGAGAUACCUUUAGAUAGCUAGAUUGCCUUCAACUUUUGAGAGAAAACGUGUGGGUUACACAUAUUUAUACGAAUUUUCUGUGUUCUUGCAGUUUAACGUUUGUGAAUGUUAUUCAAAAGGAGAAUUAGUCUGGUCUGAAGAGAUGAAAGAAUGGUAUUCCUGCUUGGCAAGUUGGAUGGUGGGAUUUCCAUGUGUUGACUUGGUCUGCCUUACUGGUGAUAAAUUCAAGUCAUGUCUUCACAUCAAAUAUCAUACUGAUCAAGGAGUGUGUACUCAUAAUCAUAAUACUGUUGCAGCAAUUUGUAGAUUUGAGAGAAAAGAGAGAGAUCAUGGCCGACUCAGAAAUAGCUGGGGGGGUUGUAGCCGGUUCUGUGAUCUUUCUUCUGAAAAAACUUGAUGCUAUUGUAACUAGAGAAGGGAACUUGCAGGGAAAUAAUAAGAAAAGAGUCCAGGACUUACGCCACGAGCUGCGGAGCAUUGAGGCCCUCCAGAAAGAUAUCGAUGCUGACCCAAAGAAAGAGCAUGAUUGUUGAGAAAAAUUUGGAUAUAAUGGAGAAAGGAAACACUCUCACACACUCACUUUGAUACAAUAAAACUCUCUUAGAUACAAAAUAAGAACAAGAAGAAGAAGAACACAAGAAAGGCUCAAACAAGUUCUUGGAACUUUGUCCAAAGACUCUAUUUCCUCCCACCUCUAGAAAUCUUUUUGGGAACUAAAUGGAAAUAGUCUUGGGAUUGAUCAAGCCUUUUCACUUUUCUGCAUGAGAUUUCAAAAAGAAGAAAAGUCAUAUAUAUAGCACUCUUAGGGUUGAAAAAAGGUUACAAGGAUGAGAAAAAACUCAUUGUCUUCCUCAAUCUUUUCAAGUUUUGUAACAUUUCAAAACUUAAUCAUGUGUUUAAUUCACACAUUAAAAGUGUAACCCUUCUUACACUUUAUUUUCCAAAAGUUAUUUUCAAAAGUGUAACUCUUCUUACACUUUAUUUUUUAACCAACAAUAUAUAUAUAUAUAUAUAUAUAUAUAUAUAUAUAUAUAUAUAUAUAUAUAUAUUAUAUAAUAUAACAUCCCCCNNNNNNNNNNNNNNNNNNNNNNNNNNNNNNNNNNNNNNNNNNNNNNNNNNNNNNNNNNNNNNNNNNNNNNNNNNNNNNNNNNNNNNNNNNNNNNNNNNNNNNNNNNNNNNNNNNNNNNNNNNNNNNNNNNNNNNNNNNNNNNNNNNNNNNNNNNNNNNNNNNNNNNNNNNNNNNNNNNNNNNNNNNNNNNNNNNNNNNNNNNNNNNNNNNNNNNNNNNNNNNNNNNNNNNNNNNNNNNNNNNNNNNNNNNNNNNNNNNNNNNNNNNNNNNNNNNNNNNNNNNNNNNNNNNNNNNNNNNNNNNNNNNNNNNNNNNNNNNNNNNNNNNNNNNNNNNNNNNNNNNNNNNNNNNNNNNNNNNNNNNNNNNNNNNNNNNNNNNNNNNNNNNNNNNNNNNNNNNNNNNNNNNNNNNNNNNNNNNNNNNNNNNNNNNNNNNNNNNNNNNNNNNNNNNNNNNNNNNNNNNNNNNNNNNNNNNNNNNNNNNNNNNNNNNNNNNNNNNNNNNNNNNNNNNNNNNNNNNNNNNNNNNNNNNNNNNNNNNNNNNNNNNNNNNNNNNNNNNNNNNNNNNNNNNNNNNNNNNNNNNNNNNNNNNNNNNNNNNNNNNNNNNNNNNNNNNNNNNNNNNNNNNNNNNNNNNNNNNNNNNNNNNNNNNNNNNNNNNNNNNNNNNNNNNNNNNNNNNNNNNNNNNNNNNNNNNNNNNNNNNNNNNNNNNNNNNNNNNNNNNNNNNNNNNNNNNNNNNNNNNNNNNNNNNNNNNNNNNNNNNNNNNNNNNNNNNNNNNNNNNNNNNNNNNNNNNNNNNNNNNNNNNNNNNNNNNNNNNNNNNNNNNNNNNNNNNNNNNNNNNNNNNNNNNNNNNNNNNNNNNNNNNNNNNNNNNNNNNNNNNNNNNNNNNNNNNNNNNNNNNNNNNNNNNNNNNNNNNNNNNNNNNNNNNNNNNNNNNNNNNNNNNNNNNNNNNNNNNNNNNNNNNNNNNNNNNNNNNNNNNNNNNNNNNNNNNNNNNNNNNNNNNNNNNNNNNNNNNNNNNNNNNNNNNNNNNNNNNNNNNNNNNNNNNNNNNNNNNNNNNNNNNNNNNNNNNNNNNNNNNNNNNNNNNNNNNNNNNNNNNNNNNNNNNNNNNNNNNNNNNNNNNNNNNNNNNNNNNNNNNNNNNNNNNNNNNNNNNNNNNNNNNNNNNNNNNNNNNNNNNNNNNNNNNNNNNNNNNNNNNNNNNNNNNNNNNNNNNNNNNNNNNNNNNNNNNNNNNNNNNNNNNNNNNNNNNNNNNNNNNNNNNNNNNNNNNNNNNNNNNNNNNNNNNNNNNNNNNNNNNNNNNNNNNNNNNNNNNNNNNNNNNNNNNNNNNNNNNNNNNNNNNNNNNNNNNNNNNNNNNNNNNNNNNNNNNNNNNNNNNNNNNNNNNNNNNNNNNNNNNNNNNNNNNNNNNNNNNNNNNNNNNNNNNNNNNNNNNNNNNNNNNNNNNNNNNNNNNNNNNNNNNNNNNNNNNNNNNNNNNNNNNNNNNNNNNNNNNNNNNNNNNNNNNNNNNNNNNNNNNNNNNNNNNNNNNNNNNNNNNNNNNNNNNNNNNNNNNNNNNNNNNNNNNNNNNNNNNNNNNNNNNNNNNNNNNNNNNNNNNNNNNNNNNNNNNNNNNNNNNNNNNNNNNNNNNNNNNNNNNNNNNNNNNNNNNNAAAGAUCACUAUGUAUUAAAUCAAGCAAAUUAGAUGAUCUCUCAACACUAUGAAAAGGCUUUUUAAUCAUCUUUGAUUUAACACAUAUUUCACACUUUUCAAAAUUUCUUGGUAUCACAAGCAAUCAAACCGCAUUUCACAAUCCUUUUAAUAGUGCUUAAACCAACAUGUGCAAGCCUAUUAUGCCACAAAAUUAAAGAAUUUGAAUCACACAUAUAAGCGGAAGUAGACGUCAUUUUAUUGAUAUUGUCAUUGGUACUAAGUUUGAUCAUCCCAUCACAAGAAUACCCCUUUCCCACAAAGUUCCCCGAUUUGGUUAAAAUUAGCUUACCGGAUUCAAACACCGCUUUGAUACCCGGUUUGCCAAGCAAAUCCCCACUAACCAAAUUUUUAUUCAUAUCGGGGACAUACAAUACAUUUUUAAGGGUAACCUUUUUGCCGGAGGUAAAAACAACUUCAAUAGUGCCCUUGCCAAACACCUUGGAUUUUCCUUCAUUGCCCAUUUGAACCUCUUGAUCUCCCUUUGCAUCUUCAAAGGUCUUGAAAAGAGAUUUGUCAUAGGUAACAUGAACUGUGGCACAAGUAUCAUACCACCAUCUUUGCACCUUUCCUUGGACAACGCACACAUCGCUUAGUGUUGCAAUGAUCUCCUCAUCAAUUGCAUUCACCACAGCCCCUUUUUGGUCCUUUCGGAACCUACACUCCCUAGCAUAAUGCCCGGGUUUUCCACAUACAAAACAAGGACCUUUCUUGCCCUUAAAUUGCUCUUGAUUUUUCUUGGGGCUCAUAUAAUUUCCGGAAUUCUUUUUGUUGUUGUUAUUUUUACCUCUAGAAUGAUUGGCCUUUGAAAUCGCAUUGGCUUUGUUAGUCCCACCAUUGGACUCUUCCACCAUUUUGUCUCUUGAUCUCGAUUCUUCCUCAAUGCGAAGAUGUUUUUGAAUCUCUUCCAAAGAGUAAUCUUCACUCUUGUGGAGAAUCCUCUUCCGGUAACCUUUCCAACUUGAUGGUAAUUUAGCCACAAUAGCACCAACUUGGAAGGCCUUCGGAAGUUCAAUUUUGAGAACUUUCAACUUAUUCACAAUUACUUGCAACUCAUGAAUUUGUGGUAAGAGAGGCUUUUCAUCAAAAAAUUUGAAAUCUAUGUAUUGAGAAAUAAGAAACUUUUUGGUACCUUCUUCCUCGGCUUUGUACUUGUUUUCAAGAGCCUCCCAAAUCUCCCUCGCGGAAUUGGUGUUGGUGUAGAGAUCAUAUAGCCUAUCGGAUAAGGCGUUCAAAAUAUGACCCCUACAUAUGAGCUCAUCCUCCUCCCUUUUCUUCCUUGCCGCCACCACUUGAGGUGUGUCAUUUUCCUUUGGUUCCGGUAAUGGUGCCAAGGUAGGAUCAAGGAUGUAGAAAAUCUUGAGUGCUGUGAGAAGGAAUCUCACCUUGUCUUGCCACCUAGUGAAGUUGGAACCAUCAAAACGAUCCAACCUCACAAGGUCUUGGUUCAUAAUCUUGAUAGUUUCUCCCUCCAUUGAGAUUAGAGUCUUUGAUUGUUGAGAAAAAUUUGGAUAUAAUGGAGAAAGGAAACACUCUCACACACUCACUUUGAUACAAUAAAACUCUCUUAGAUACAAAAUAAGAACAAGAAGAAGAAGAACACAAGAAAGACUCAAACAAGUUCUUGGAACUUUGUCCAAAGACUCUAUUUCCUCCCACCUCUAGAAAUCUUUUUGGGAACUAAAUGGAAAUAGUCUUGGGAUUGAUCAAGCCUUUUCACUUUUCUGCAUGAGAUUUCAAAAAGAAGAAAAGUCAUAUAUAUAGCACUCUUAGGGUUGAAAAAAGGUUACAAGGAUGAGAAAAAACUCAUUGUCUUCCUCAAUCUUUUCAAGUUUUGUAACAUUUCAAAACUUAAUCAUGUGUUUAAUUCACACAUUAAAAGUGUAACCCUUCUUACACUUUAUUUUCCAAAAGUUAUUUUCAAAAGUAUAACCUCUUGUACACUUUNNNNNNNNNNNNNNNNNNNNNNNNNNNNNNNNNNNNNNNNNNNNNNNNNNNNNNNNNNNNNNNNNNNNNNNNNNNNNNNNNNNNNNNNNNNNNNNNNNNNAAAAACUCUCUUUGAUACAAAAUAAGAACAAGAAGAAGAAGAACACAAGAAAGACUCAAACAAGUUCUUGGAACUUUGUCCAAAGACUCUAUUUCCUCCCACCUCUAGAAAUCUUUUUUGGGAACUAAAUGGAAAUAGUCUUGGGAUUGAUCAAGCCUUUUCACUUUUCUGCAUGAGAUUUCAAAAAGAAGAAAAGUCAUAUAUAUAGCACUCUUAGGGUUGAAAAAAGGUUACAAGGAUGAGAAAAAACUCAUUGUCUUCCUCAAUCUUUUCAAGUUUUGUAACAUUUCAAAACUUAAUCAUGUGUUUAAUUCACACAUUAAAAGUGUAACCCUUCUUACACUUUAUUUUCCAAAAGUUAUUUUCAAAAGUAUAACUCUUCUUACACUUUAUUUUUUAACCAACAAUAUAUAUAUAUAUAUAUAUAUAUAUAUAUAUAUAUAUAUAUAUAUAUAUAUAUAUAUAUAUAUUUAUAUAAAUAUAACAACAUGAUCACCGAUUCCAAGUCUGGAUUCAAGAUGUUCGGGAAGAAGCUUAUGACAUUGAGGAUGUCAUUGACCUGCUCAGUCUUGAUAUGACUCAAGAAUCAGCCCGGCGCCGCUGGAAAAUGAGACACUCCAUCAACGACUUGAUAGAGAAGAUUAACAGGAGUCUGGAAAACAGUCAGAAGAUACAGGAGAGGUAUCAGAAGCUGGUCUCCACUCCAACCAAUGCUGUCAACAACACAUAUCCUCAUGAGAAACUAGCUUCUUUGUUCCUUGGCAACGUUGACACUGUGGGCAUGGAGGAGCCCCGAAAUAAGCUCGUUUCUUGGGUGUUGGAGCCGAAGCAGAGACUUAAGAUGAUGUUCGUGGUGGGGAUGGCUGGAUUGGGGAAGACGACUCUCGUCCACAGCGUGUAUGAGAGGGUGAAGCAGCGCUUUGAUUCCCAUGUCUGGAUCACUGCUUCAGAGUCCAAAACCAAACUCGAAAUCUUAUUGAGCUUGUUAGCAAAGAAAUUUGGCUGUUCAAUUACACCGGGGGCAGACAUGGUUGCUGUAACUCACGAACUGCAAAAAUUUCUCCGCAACAAACGGUAUGUUAUGGUUAUUGAUGAUUUUUGUGUAAAAGAUGUGUGGGAAUCCAUUAGACUUGCAUUACCAGAUGGUAACAACAGUAGAAUAAUUAUCACUACAAGGAGAGGCGACAUAGCUAAUUCUUGCAGAGAUGAUGAUUCUAUUCAUAUCCACAAGCUCCAGCCACUGUCUUGGGAAAAUGCUAAGCGGCUCUUCCAUACUAAAGCUUUCUCAAGAAAUAGCAGAUGUCCUUCAGGCUUGGAGGAACUGUCCCAAUCCAUCUUACAGAAAUGUGAUGGAUUACCACUUGGGAUUAUUGAGAUUGGCAGACUCUUGAAGAGUAAGGCUCAAACUGCAUAUGAGUGGCAAAAGUUACACGAUAACCUUGAAUCUGAAUUGAGAAGCGGUGGUGGCCUUUCCAAUAUGAUGAAAGUGCUGUCUACAAGUUACAAAGAUUUACCUUACCAUCUCAAGUGUUGUUUCUUGUACAUGGGCAUCUUUCCUGAAAAUAAACCAGUUAAGCGAAGAAGACUGGUUCGGCUGUGGAUAGCUGAGAGAUUUGUAACAGAGGAGAGAGGCAAAACUCUUGAAGAGGUUGGGGAAGAGUACCUGAAUGAGCUGAUUGACAGGAGUCUGAUACAGGCAAAUGAAAUGGAUUUUGAUGGAAGGCCCAAAAGUGUAGGAGUUCAUUGUCUCAUGCAUAAGAUGAUUCUCUCACUCUCACAUGAGGAGAACUUUUGUACUCUACAUUGUACAGGAGCAAAAAAGAACUUUACUGAGAAAACCCGGCGCCUAUCUAUCCAGAAGAAAGACUUUGAUAUUUCUCAGGAGUUGCCCCGUCUUCGAACCUUCUUCAGUUUCAGUACAGGUAGGGUAAACAUUCGUUGGAUUAAUUUCCUACGACUGAGGGUUUUGGAUAUACAGGGCACUUCAUUGGGAGCCUUCCCGAGUGUAACAACAGAUCUUCUCCUCUUGAGGUACUUGAGUUUGAGGAAUACAGAUAUAAGAAGCAUCCCCGAAACCGUGAGUAACCUAAAGCAGCUUGAGACCUUGGAUCUCAAGCAAACUCGGGUGAAAAAGCUACCCAAAUCAGUCCUACAACUUGGGGAACUUCGCCAUUUGCUGGUUUGUCGCUACAAUAAUGGACGUGUUGUCUCUUUUGAUGCUGUUCAGGGGUUCAAGGUUCCAAAAAAGAUCAGUGCAUUGAAGAACCUACAAAAGCUAUCAUUUGUAAAGGCGAGAUGGCAGUACAGAAUGAUAGAGGAGCUCCAACAUUUGACACAGUUGAGGAAGCUGGGCAUUGUAGCACUAGAAAAAGAAGAUGGAAAGAGCUUGUGCGACUCAAUUGAAAAGAUGCGAAAUCUCCAUUCCUUGAAUGUGACUUCCCUUAAUCAGGAGGAGCCUCUGCAGCUUGAUGCAAUGACUAAUCCUCCGCCCUUUCUGCAACGCUUGCAUCUCAAAGGGCCCCUACCAAGGUUUCCAAAGUGGGUAUCUUCUCUACAUGACCUGGCGAGAAUACGCCUAAAUUGGUCUUCGCUGUCAGAAGAUAACCCGGUUGAAGCUCUUCAAGAUCUCCCAAAUCUGAUGGAGCUGCAGUUGCUUGAUGCAUACACUGGAACCCAGUUGGAGUUUCACAAGGGAAAAUUUCAGAAGCUUAAGAUAUUAGACCUUGUGCAAUUGAAACUGAGGUUUAUCAGAAUGGAAGAUGGAACAUUGCCCUGCCUGCAAAAGCUGAUAAUAAGGAAAUGCAGCGAGCUGGAGCGGGUCCCUGUUGGUAUCGACGACCUCAUUCAUCUCCAAGAGCUGCUCCUCUGCGAUAUGCCUGAGAAAUUCGUGACCCAGCUGAAGAAAAAAGGCGGUGAACUUCGCCAUCUCCUUCACCGUAUUUCACAUAUUGGUUCAUACAAAGAGGGCAAGUUGGUGGAAGAUCUUUCAUGACCGAUGGGUACAAGAAUCUGGUCCGUAUAACAUAAUGGAUUCCUUAAAAUGUAUUGAUGUUGGAUUUCUAUUUCUUUACUAGCAUUCCUGCAUUUUCCUAUAGUUACUAUAUAUGGUGCAAUAGCAUUUGUACGCAGAUCAGCUUUAGUUGUGUGUUCGGAACUCUCAUUGUUGAGAUGAUUUCUGUAAGGUUGAUUGUUUUUUACCUUUUUUUUUUUCCUGUAAAAAGAAAGUUAAUUGUUGAAUGCAUCUAGUUAUAUUUUCUCAAAAGUUUUUAUUAAUUUUGAAUUUUUAGUAUUUUGAAUAACGUAUUAUCAUGAGUGCAAGGGCAUAGAAUAUGACCUCUAGUACCUCAAAAUUAAGAAGAAAUUAAUUCUAGAAAUACCUCAAUCUAAAACACAUAUAACAAAGAAAAGGAGAAGAAUGUGGCAGAGAAGGCAAUCCAGAUGGCACCUAUUUUAGAUAGCCCAAAGAAUGUGGUAGGCAGGGCAACAAGUGCCAACAUUAUGAAGAAUUUUCACCAUUGGAAAACAUUUCAAAAAUCCUAUUAAACAAGGAGGAGAGCUUCCAACAUUUUCAAAUGCCCAAAAACAAUUUUUCGAUUAAAUCAAUUUAGGAAACAAAGGAGCAAAAUGACAUUUGAAUGCCUAGGAAUGUUUGAACAAAAUGUUCUAACAAUCUCUCAUGUGACAAUUUUGUGAUAAAAUAUAAAGAUAUAACAAUUUUCAUGUGACUCGUAAAAGCCUCAUUGAACCCAAAAAUAAAGAUAGGAUUGGGUUAUGACCAAGUAUAAAUGUUUGUCGUGUUGGACUUGGCCCAAAAAUCUUAGACGAGCUUGGCUUGAGUUCUAGAAAUAUUGGCAUCCAUGGUACAAUUUUAUGCAAAUAUUGGAAGAAAUAUUGAUAUUGAUGAAAAUUUGGUAAAAAAAAUAAAAUCAUAAAAAUGGAUUACAUCUAUAUGAUUUUGGAGGAAAGUUUAAUAAAAGAUAAUAUAGUUUAUAAUACAUGUAUUAAACUUGUCACUAUCAAACUUUGACCAGUCAAACUGGUUUGUAUCUGGGAGCUAGGGGGGCUGCACUAGGCCUUUUGGAAAAAGGUCGGAAUGGGUUGCCCACCAUACUUCCAAACCAACCAUUUGGCAUGUCACUUGUUAUAUUAAUUAAUGACCUAUAAUAAAUAUAUUGGUUAAUUAUUCAGGAUAUAGUCAAAUUCCAGGUUUAUUUACUGUAAAAAUACAUUAAAGAUUACAAAUGAUAAAAUAUAAAGUUAAUGAAAUUGUGUACCCCGUAUUUCGGCUCAAUGCGUUUUCCACUCGAAUGGCGAGCUCUCGAUUUUUAUUUUAAAAAAAAUGAUUUAUAUUGAUUAAGAAAAUGACUUGGAGUUGCCACUUAUUUUUGUUUUAUUUUUUGAAGGGUAAACAAAAUAAGAAAGAAAACCUUAAGUGUGACUCCUUAUUUGGAAAAUGUGAUAUGCGAAAAACCGAAUCGGGUUCGGGGGUCAGGUUACUUAUUAGGAAGGUACGGUAAAGACCGUAGCACCCCUCUAAGUCCCUAAAACGGGUCUCUACUAAUAAAAUGAAGCUGAUAUGACAAUUGAUGAGAAAAUAAAUGAAUACUCGAUUUGAUCAUGCACACAUGAGUAUCAGAAUAUACAUAGAGAAUAACCAAAGUGGAAGUGGAUGCGUACCUGAUCAGCAAAUGGCAACGCGCUAUCACAAAUUAGGGUUAGUGCAUAGUAAUGAACAUAAAGUAUAUCACUCAUAUCACCCAACUAGAUAAAGGAGCACCAAUAUCAUGUAUGGUAUUUCAUUCAAUUCCAUUUUUAUUUUAAAGGAAAUUUAUUUGAUGUCGGGCCCCCACCAUAGCCCGUUUAUUUUGCAUGGACUAAUUCCAUAAAUUCCAUCAUUUGGAAUUACAGAAUUUGACUUUUGUUUAUUUCAAAACAAUUUAAAAUGAGAAAUUAUAUGGAAAAUGGGAGUCUUGGGACCUAAAAAUAAAUCUAAGGAUGAAAAUUUGAAAAACAAAAUUGUUUGAAGGAUUUGGAAAUUGGAAAAUUAUUUAAGAAAAUAAGAAUUUAAAAAAUAGUAAUCAUUUGAGAGCUAAGGGUGUGAGAAACCACUUAUGAAAACAGAAUAACGAUGGAGAAGUGGGAACGUCGGCCGGACAGAAUUCCGGAUGUGAGAUAUCCGGAGAAGGUUGAACGUCGGCGGGACAGAAUUCCGGAUGUGAGAUAUCCGGGUGAAAUUUCGGCGGAGAAGAAUUCCGGAUGUGAGAUAUCCGGAGAAGGUGGAACAUCGGCUGGACAGAAUUCCGGAUGUGAGAUAUCCAGGUGGAAUGUCGGCGGGGAAGAAUUCUGGAUGUGAGACAUCCGGAUAAGGCAGAAUGUUGGCCAGACAGAAUUCCGAAUGUGAGACGUCUGGGUGGAAUGAGUGAGAAUUUCUGUCCGGGUGGAAUGAGCGGUGCCACGUAUUGCGAGGGGCUGUCUGCGUGUCUAAGGGAGAAGGAGCCACGCGACAAUUUUUAGGGAGGAUCCCACAUACACAUGGGUAUUGAUGAUGAGUUAAACGAGCAUGAAAGGUGAGAAUAUGGUAGUGAUUAAUUCCCCUUCUUUCCACAAAUUCAAAUACUAGCUUCCUACAUCAUCUUGAGACAUCACCUCCCGGUAUGAGAUGCGCGGGGGUUUACGCAUGAUGAAGAUAAACGGGAAUAGGAGUGGAGUGAUGGAUGGGGGCGUGGACAUGUUGGAUAAAACGAUGAAUAAUAAGCAAGAAUGGGUAUGGGGAUGCUGAUGAGGUGGGUUUUGCUGCCAUGACAACUACUCCAGAUUUCCUAGGAUCUCCUUCAAGCAGGGAUGAGAAAAUGGAUGCGUACCAUGGACGGAUAUCAAGAGUAGAGGAGGAUAACAAAACAGAGCACAAAGAGUAGAUACAAGAAAAUGAGCCCGACAAGCUAUGCUUCAUAUUAUACCCACAGGCUUAGACGAUGGUGAGUAAGAUUAAAUGAGUAUCAGAUGAAAGGUAAAACGUGGUUACAAAAAUAUCUCAUGGAGAAAUCAAAACCAAAGCAAACUAAACCACUACAAAAUCAUUAGCAAAAAUAUGAACGUAUUCACUCCCAAUCAACAAACAUCAUCCGAGAAUCAGUAAAAACAAAGUAGAAAAGCACACCAUUAGAAGCUGAUGAAGAAUACACAAUAAAUGUACCUCAAAAUAACUCUCUCCAGCUAGGUGGGCAAGAAAUCGGACAGCUAUCCUUCCUCUCAAGCAACCAGCCAAGGAAAUCCCCCUUUCCCACUAGUCCUCUCAAGCUAAACUCCCCCCAGCUUCUCUUCUGUUUUCUCCUCCUUUCUUCUUCCUUUUUUCUUUUUAGAAAACCUCCUUUAUUUUUCGGAUUUGCCUUCCCAACGAUCUCUGCUGCAGCUACCUUUUCUACCCCACCUCUUCUGCAGCCACCUUUUCUGUCCCAAUUCUUCUGCAGCCGCCUAACGGCCUGCGGGACUCCCCUCCAGAAAGUUUCUCCACGUGUCAAAGUCCUACCGCAGCUUCAAAAAGCGAGGUUGAUUCCUUAUGGCCACUAAGGAUGUGACACGUGGCCCGCUGGGAUAGUGACACCUGGCUAAAAAUGUGACCUGCAAAAACAAAUAGAGAAAAAGUGACCCAUACCUAAACAUAUUAAUACACAUUUAAUCUAUCUAUGUUAUAUAUAAAAGUCUAUAGACUCAUAGGUGUUUGUAUUCUUUUAUGUUCUUAAACUGCAUCUUUCAUAUUAACAAAGUUUAAUUUUUCUUGUCUGAGGGAUUUAAGAAUUAUAUUUAGUAUUUUUGCAGUCAAUGAAUGUGUCACCACAUGUAUUGAACUUUUGCUCAAAUUCAUCAAAUGGAACUUCAAAAACCAACAACUUGUUUAUGCGAAACCAAAAGAUUGAAUAUUUCCUGGGUGGAUUUUUGGGAACUGAUCACACACACACAAGAAAUCUCCAUCAAGCUAGCUGUAUUCUCAGUGAAUAUUUCCUAGGUGGAUUUAAGAGUGCUUGUGGUCAUUCAAUAAGGUUAAUAAAUUGUCUGGAGGAAGCAGUAAAAUGAUCCUCUAAGUGUGAUCAUAUACAGCGGUGUGCUUGGAAAUAUUCAAAGUCUUCCCAAUGGGGAUCUUGAUUUAUAUGUAAUGCUAGUGUUCACAAUAUUUAUCACAUUGACUGCUGAAUUCUUUUGGAAGUAUACAUGGAUGUGGCAUUCAUGAGUAGUUAAAAUCAGUGUUUUCAGGGGGCCUACGCCAAGCUUCCAAGCAACAGCAAUGUGGAGAAGACAGCGUCCAAGUCUCUAUUAAUUAAAUUCAUGCGACACUUGUAUUCAGCAUGACGUCUACAAAGGAGGAAAAAACCCUGUGAACCUGUGACAUGAAAAUAUUCAUUAAUUUUGCUAGAUAACUAGACUAAUUACCUUCAACUUUUGAGAGAAGACUUUGCUGGGUUACUUGAAUUGAUUCUCAAGAACACUGAGGUUGAGUUAUUCCCAUUCUGUAUCUGCAAGUUGAGAAGAUCCGUCCCUAACAAUCCAAUCACCGAGGUCUUCAUUUGCCACCUUACAGAUUUUAUGUGCUCUUAUCUUUGAACAUGGCAGCCCCCAGGUGAUUAUCAUUUAUCUACACACAGAAAUUCUAAGACAUUUCUGUGUGAUCGCUGUAUGAUUAGAUUGGUCUGAAGAGUCAAUAGAAAUUGUUAAUGGUGGGCACGUUGUUAUUGCAGGUGGAUUUCCAAGCAUUUGACUUGGUCUGUACGAAUAAUAAACUCAAUUCUCACAUAGAGUCAUUGCAAAGAGUAGAAGACUACUGCAUUUGAAUUUUGAAAGAAAUUGAAGAGGAAGAGCACGAACCCAGGUCUAGCUGAGGGAUGGCAGAUGGGGCUGUGUCGUUUCUUCUUCAAAAUCUUGAAGCUUUUGCAACUAGAGAAUGGAACUUGCAGGAACAUAUCAGGAAUGGAGUCCAUAACUUAAAAAGGGAACUGCGGAGCAUAGAGGCCCUGAUGAGGGAUGCUGAUGCAAAGAAAGAGCAUGAUCACCAAUUCAAAGUGUGGAUUCAAGAAGUUCGCACAGAAGCUUAUGCCAUUGAGGAUGUUCUUGACCUAUUCAGACUCCACCGGGAUCAAGAAUCAGUGUGGAGCCACUUGAAAAUGCGGCACUCCAUUGGCAACCUGAUACAGGAUAUUAACACAAGGCUCGUGAUCAUUAAGCAGACAAAGGAGAGGUAUCAGAUCAUGGUCUCCACUUCAAUUAGCGCUGAAACCAACGCAUACCUUAAUGUGAGAGUAGCUCCUUUGAUCAUCGGCAGGGGCGAUAACAUCCUGGGCAUCGAUGAGCCUAAAAGGAAGCUGGUUUCUUGGGCAUUGGAGUCGAAUCAGAAACUCAAGGUUAUGUUCGUGGUGGGGAUGGCUGGACUGGGGAAGACAACGCUCGCCCGCAGCGUGUACGAGAUGGUGAAGGAGCACUUUGAUUGCCAUGCCUGGAUCAUUGCUUCAAAGUCCAAAACCAAACCUGAAACUUUACGGAGCUUGUUGGAGCACCUUGGCUGUUCGACAGAGGGGUCCAACAUAGUUAUUCUGAUGCAUAGACUGCAAAAUUUUCUCCAGCCCAAACGGUAUGUUAUAGUUGUUGACGAUUUAUGGGUAAAAGAUGUGUGGGAAUCCAUUAGACUUGCCUUGCCAGAUGGUAACAACAAUAGAAUAAUUAUCACUACAAGAAGAGGCGAUAUAGCUAAUUCUUGUAGAGAUGAUGAUUCUAUUGAUAUCCACAAGGUUCAGCCACUGUCACCGCAAUGGGCUGAGCAACUCUUCUAUAAGAAAGCUUUCUCAAGAAAUGGCAGAUGUCCUUCAGGCUUGGAGGAAGUCUCCAAAUCCAUCUUACAGAAAUGUGAUGGAUUACCACUUGGGAUUAUUGAAAUCGGUAAGCUGUUGUGGGGUAAGCGUCAAAGUACAUACGAGUGGAAAAAAUUAGAUGAUAGCCUUGAGUCUGAAUUGAGAAGCGGUGGUGGCCUUUCAGAUAUAAUGAGAGUGCUUUCUGCAAGUUACAAUGAUUUACCUUACCAUCUCAAGUAUUGCUUCUUAUACAUGAGUAUUUUUCCUGAGAAUAAUCCAGUUAAGCGAAGAAGACUGAUUCGGCUAUGGAUAGCUGAGGGAUUUGUAACAGAGGAGAGAGGCAAGACUCUUGAAGAGGUGGGGGAAGAGUACCUGAAUGAGCUUAUUGGUAGGAGUCUCAUAAAGGCAAAUGAAAUGGACUUUGAUGAAAGACCAAUAACUGUUGGAGUCCAUAGUCUCAUGCAUAGGAUAAUUCUCUCGGUUUCACAAGUGGAGAACUUUUGUACUGUUUGUGCAGGACCAGAAGGAAACUUGGCUGACAAACCCCGACGCCUAUCCAUCCAGACGGGAAACUUUGAUGUGUCUCAGGACUUAACCUGUGUUCGAACUUUUUUCAGUUUCAGUACAGGUAGGGUAAACAUUGGUUCGAAUUUCAAACUAUUGAAGGUUUUGGACAUACAAAGCACUCCUUUGGAAAACUUUCCAAGUGCCAUUACAGAUCUUCUGCUCUUGAGGUACUUGAGUUUGAGGAAUACAAAUAUAAGGAGCAUCCCCAAAUCCCUCAGGAACCUACGGCACCUUGAGACCUUGGAUCUUAAGCAAACUCUGGUAAAAGAGCUACCCAAAGCAGUCCUACAACUUGAUAAACUUCGCCACUUGCUGGUUUAUGCCUACAAUAUGGGAAGUGUUGUAGAGUUUGAUGCCGUUCAAGGGUUCACUGUACCGAGAAAGAUCGGAGCAAUGAAGAAUCUGCAAAAGCUAUCAUUUGUAAAGGCGAAAAGGCAUAACAGAAUGAUACAGGAGCUCAAAAAUCUGACAAAGCUGAGGAAGCUGGGCAUUGUAGAACUAGCAAAAGAAGAUGGCAAUAGCUUGUGCCACUCAAUUGAGAAGAUGCCGGAUCUCCUUUCCUUGGAUGUUACCUCCCUUAGUAAGGGGGAGCCUUUGGAGCUUGAUGCAAUGACCAAUCCCCCGCGUCUUCUUCAACGCCUGUAUCUCAAAGGGCACUUGCAAAGGUUUCCAAAGUGGGUAUCUUCUCUACAUGACCUGGUGAGAAUACGCCUAAAAUGGUCCUUAUUGUCACAAGACAACCCAAUUGAAGCUCUUCAAGAUCUUCCAAACUUGAUGGAGCUGCAGUUACUUGAUGCAUACACUGGAACCCAGUUGGACUUCAACUCGGGAAAAUUUCAGAAGCUUAAGAUAUUAGACCUUGAGCAAUUGAAACAGCUGAGGUUUAUCAUAAUGGAAGAUGACACAUUGCCUUGCCUACAAAAGCUGAUCAUAAGGCAAUGCAAUGAGCUGGAACAUGUCCCCGUAGGCAUUGACGGGCUUCAUCAUCUCAAUGAGCUGCACCUCUGCGAUAUGCCUGAGAAAUUCGUGGCACUGCUGAAGAAAAGAGGCGGUGAACUUCGCCAUUUGCUUCACCGUAUUUUGCGUAUUCUCUCAUAUCAACAGGGCCAGUUGGUGGAAGAUCUUUCAUGACCAUAAAUGCUACAUCUGUGACAUGCACCAGUGGAACAAGAAUCAAGGUUUGUAUAACUACAUGGAUUCAUCGCUUGCUUCUUUUGGAUUCCUCAAAAUGCAUUGUCGUCAAUUCCUUUACUAGCAAUAUUACUGCAUGUUCCUAGGAAAUCAUGGUGGGAUAUCUAGCAUUUAUACAUAUCAAACAUCGAAUAUCUGUGGAGUCAUAUUUGAAACUGCCAUUGUUGAAACUACGCCGAGACUCGGUACAAGACAGUCGGAUUAUGGUUAGGUGUCAAGCCCCUGAGCCUUCCAAUUGAUUUUUAUUAUUCUUGUAUUGAUAAUAGUAUGAAGUUAGAAUCAAUUUUAUUAUAUUUCGCUUAAAACGUCGGAAUCAGUUUCACAUUAAGCUUGUAGGAUAGCGAACAAAUUGAAUAUCAAUUUACUAUAAAAAUCUUCUCUUUUUUUUUUUCAAUUUUUUUAUUUAUUUUAUACUUGUGUCUGGUUUGGUUAACAAAUAAUGACAUUAUGCCCACUUGUGAAUUUUUAAUAUUAUGUUUUUAUGAUUAUUUUAGAUGAUAUUAAAUAUAAUAGUGAUUUGCUUUAAUUGUUGGUUUGUUGAAUGCAUUCUUAUCCAAUUGUUUUUAUUUAUUUUCUCUAAAAUUUUUAUUACUUUAAAAUUGUUCUAUACUUUUUAAUUAAUUAAGCAGUUUAUUCUGCAUAUAGUCUGGUUUAAUCGAAUAAAAUACGAUGACGAAGUCCUCUAAGAAUCUUCUAUAAAAGUCAACUCUGCCCAAUCAAUUCUUUCACAGGGGAACAAUGGUUUAUUAAUGUGCAACUAGCGUUUUUAUAAAUAAAAUAUUCUUAAUUUCCUCUAAAUAUCAGAUUAGUGUUAGACAAAACCAAUAAUAAUAUUUUUAUUGGGAUUUUUCAAUGGCAUUAUAAAGUCACCAAUCAAUUAAUAAAAAAUGGUCAUUGAAGUCACCGUGAUUUAUUGAUUUAUUUAUUUUUACCUGGACAAUGAUCUUAAUUAUUGUUUUUUCUGUAUUAUUUAAGUAUCAAGUUUUUAACAAAAGAAACCCAAGGUUAUGGAUGGGCAUUUCUCAAUACUAGAGGUACUAGUUUUUUUAGGGAAAAAUAGGUAUAAAAAAAAUUUAAUAUUUGCUAAAUUUUGGAAAAGUUGAAUAAUAUUGAGAUUAGUACCUUGAAAAGUUAAAAUUAUUCAAACACAAAAUAAAGAAUAAAAAGUAUAUUAAUAAUUUGUUUAGUAAAUUUUAACAUUUCUUUUACUUGAAAUUUUUUUAAAAAAAAAUUCUAUAUAGGGCAUAUAAUUAGGAUUAGGUUUAUUAAUAAAUGAAAUGUUUUUCUUAGCUGACAAUGCAAUCAUGUUGACCCAUAAAUUUGCAUUAGAUUUAUGAGAAAACUUUGAAUUUCUUUAUUUUCUUUUACAUGGCACAAAGGUUUAUAUAGAUUGUCUUGAAGUAGCAGUAAAGUGAUCCUUUAAGUACCACAAAUACUUGUGAUUUGGAAAUAAUCAAAGUCUUCCCAAUUGGGACGACCCUAGGUUCCAAUACAUUAGCAUUGAUUUCUUUGAGUUGUAUAUGAUGCUUCUUUUCAUGUUAUUUACGACAUUGACUACUAGAAUCUCUUGCAGAUGCAAGUGGCAUUCAUUAAAAGUUAAGACCACUGCUUUCAAGGGUCCUAUGUCCAGCUUCCGAGCAACAACAAUACGAGAAUGGGAAUGGUAAUGGGGUGGAAUUUUCUUGAUGGGACAAAUUUGGGAUAAAUAUGAAUGAGUUCAACCAACAAAUUUGAGAUUUUUUGUUUUUUUUUUGAACCCAAAGUGGGUUUGGGUAUGAUGUUGUCCCAUCCCAUAUGUAAUAUUAAAUAAAAAUGAUUUUAAUACAUUUUUGACUUUUUUUAACAUAUAUCAAAUAUUUUUUUUUAUAAAGAUAAAUUAUACAUAUUUAUAAUAUUUAUUUAUUUGUAAAUUAUAUUUAUUUUUAAUACAAUUUAAAAGUAAAAAAAUUAAGAAAAAAUAAAAAAUAGACAGACAAGGUGAAUAUGAGAAUUUUCCUACAUCUGUUCUACCUAUUUAUUUAUUUUUUUCAUGAAAAUGAGAAUAAAUAUAAAUAAAUUGGACGAUAUUAAAAUAUGGGUGACCAUCUCAAACUUGCCCGUUACCAACCAUAACCGAGAAGAUUGGGUCAAUGUGGAUUUUUAAGCUCCUUUUUUGGUUUGGGUUUGCAAAAAAAGACCCAACCAUUUAUUCGUUUGGCCAUAUGAAGUUGAUGAAUGCAACACCUUAACUCGGAACAUGACAUCCAUCAAACUUAGGCAAUCUCUCGCGUAAAUUUUAAGAAAUCACAAUAACUAGGAAUUUUCAACUAUGAAAUUUCCAAAAGAUAGCAUCAUUUUACAUUGUUCUAAGGCCAGUGCCAAAGGGUUCAUGUAGAAUUUUCAAAAUGUUUUUGUCCUGAGAAAAUACAUUUUGGAUAUGUUUCGUACCCAGUAAAUUCCAGGAUGCACAUAAUGGAAAUAAAAUUGAAAAAAAGAAAAAAAAAAGUAAAGAAAAAUAAAAUAUAGAUUUAAGAUCAAUAAAUUAUGUUAUAUAUUUCUUCAAACUAAUUUCACUUAUUUUCCUUAUUAUCUAAAGAUUAAAUAAUUUUAAAAUACAUAAAUCUUUUAUUAACUUUCAUUAUAUUUGAUUUUUUUUUAUAUUUUUUAUAAUAAAAUUAAACAUGAGAAAAUUAGUUUUAUUAACAUUUUUUUUUCUUUUACUUUCCUAGAACCGAACAUAGUACUAAGAAGCUAUAGCUAGAAAUGCCAUGAUACCAUUUUCUUGAAAACUUCCAUAUAAUUAAUAUGUACAUGUAGAUUACCUACAAUUUUCAAAUAGACAAGUACUUGUGUGUUUCAGUUUCCAAAACUUUUAUUAGGAACUCAACUUAAGACUUUACUGAAUUCAUGGGAUUGUCAGAUUUAGUAUAGGAAGAAAUUUUCCAUUGUUGACUAUAAUCUAUAUAUGGUGACCAUGUGACAUUAAUAUAUUUAUUUAGAUAUAUAAAAAAAUAUUUGAUUAAAAGACUUAAAAUACUCUUUGUAAAACCAAGGUUUGGUUAAUCUUGAUUUUGAUGAUAAAAAUAAAAAAUAAAAUUAGAAUUCAUGAUUAUAUUUCAACUGUCACUAGACAAGAUGAUUUCUAGAGUGACAAUCACAAAAAUAAAAUUAAGUCAAAGAGAAAUCAAUAAAAAGAAGAAAACCUCAAAAAGAAAUGUUUUUCAAGACCUAAGCUCCAUAGGAUAUCUUUGUAAGGUUGUUGGUGCACCAAGUUUUUCAUGCAUUACAUUCUUUACUUAUGCACCAAAAUCAUUUAAGAAUUAUUUUGUUUUAAAUAUUUUAAAAUAAGAUGAUUUCAUGUUUUCAACUAAAACUUUGUGUCAAAUACUUUCCAAACUUGUUUAAAAUAGUUUUAAGUUAAAAAGAUGGUUAUUGAACCAAAAACGACUCAAUUGGUUGAGAAAUUUGCUCAAUCGGUUGAACAUAUUGAGGAACCAAUCAACCUGUUCAACUUAACUGGUUGAAGGGUGUAAAAAAACUCUUUCUCUUCCAGAACACUUAUUCGAUCGAUCGAUCGAGGUUGGACCUCAUCCGAUUGACCAAUUCAGCUCAAUCAGUUGAAAGGUGUAAAAAUCUUCUUUCUAUUCCAAAAUACUUCUUUGACUAGUUGAGGUUGGACUUCAUCUGGUCAAGUACUAGUUGAGGAGCGGUUGAGGUUCAACAGUCACCUGUCAUGCAUUAAAUGUUAAUGGCUAGUGAACCAGUCGAAUUGGAGCUCGAUCGGAUGAACUCGCAAUGACUAGUUAGACUUAUCUCCUCUAUAAAAAGGUUCCAAUCUUUAUUGUUUCAAGAGUUUAAUCUUCGUAACCCUUUCUUGAAUAUAUUUGAGCAUUGAAAGUGUGUUUUUUAGUGCACCAUUGUUCUAAAACUUGCAAUCAUUAAUGCACCAGUCAAUCCUAAUUUAUCUUGUAUCAUUUGAACCUAAAGUUUUGUACUAGAUUUUGUGAGAUUAUUUCUUAUCUUCAUUUGUAAAUCUUUGAGAGAAAUAAUCUAAGUGUGAGGUAUCAUUUAGGGAUAUUUAAGUGUGGGGUAUCACUUAGAAAUUCUUAAGUUUGGGGUAUUAUUUGAGGGAUUGUUCAAAAGUGAUCUAUCUCUUAAGGAUUUUAAAGGAUGAACCUAAAGUUCUGUACUAUAUUUUGUGAGAUUAUUUCUUAUCUUUAUUUGUAAAUCUUUGAGAGGAAAAAUCUAAGUGUGAGGUAUCAUUCAGGGAUAUUUAAGUGUGGGGUAUCACUUAGAGAUUCUUAAGUGUGAGAUAUCACUUAAGGGGUUGUUCAAAAGUGAUGCAUCUCUUAAGGAUUGUAAAGGAUGCUUAGAGCCAAAAGUUCAAGAGGGUGAAUUGGAACCAUAAUCCAAUUAUAUUGCUUGAAUGCUUGGUUUGAAAGCCUUGAAUUAGUAGAAUUUCAAACUUGUGAUUGAAACUGGAGGAGAGUGGACAGAGGCUAGGUUGCGUUGAACCAUUAUAAAAAUCUUGUAUUUGCAUUCUCUCUUAUAUUCUCUUUUAAUUUAUAUGCAAUUGUUUUUAUAUUAUUUAUUAUAUAAAUUACAUAUAAUUAUCUCUUAAAUUUACAUAAUUUAAAUUUACAAAAAGAGACCAUCACCCUAUUCACCAUUUUUAGAGUGGUUACCUUAGGUUGGAUUAACUUUUUUUUUUUUUUUAAUACUUUUGAAAUUGGAAAAAUGACGUUCUUUACUCAUUCCUUGAAAAAUAAAAAAAUGAUUCAUUUUGGAUGUUAUUCUUCUUUUUUAUUUUCUUAAAAAUGCCAUUUUCUUCUAUUUCCUAAUUUAUUUAUUUAGUUUUCACAUUUAGGAUACCAAGCUCUCUUUCUCCCUCUAAGUUUAUGCUUUCCAAUUUUUCAUUGAAUUUUUUUAGUGAAGUUCAAAUCCUUAACAAAGAUUAAUGGAUAAUGAUCGGUUGUAGUCCUCUCAUCUUUCUUUUUUCUUCAAGAUUCUUUAUAUUUUCCAUUUUCUCUUUAUUUCUUGUUGGAAUUUUUUAUUAGAGGGUUUUUUUUGAAAUUGUUAUUUUUAAAAUUUUUUGUAGUUGUUUUUUUGCAGGUUUUUUUUUCUUUUUGGUUAACGGUUUUUUGUUGAGGGUUUUUUAUUAGGGCUUCUUACAAUUUCAUUUACACUUCUACAUUGUUUUUGCUUAGGGUUUCUUGGUAGUUAUUUUCUAUUGAAAUUUUGGUUGGGGUCCGUUGCCAUUGUUUUUCAUUAGAGUUUUUUUUAUAGUUGUUUUAUCGAGUUUUAUUUUUUAUUUAUUUUUUUGCAUUUUCACUAAGUCUUAUAAUAAUACCCUCUAUUUUGUCCUUUUGGCACAUGAUACUCAAGUUAGCCAUCAUUCAUCCUUUAUUACUUGUUUGUGCACUUCACGGUCUUUUUUCAAGCUAUUUUUGAGCUCUCAUUGAUGGUCUACUGUGACUAUGUUUAUCACUAGUUUUUUGUAUUUUCUAUAAGAAACAUUUUGGAGGGAUUAGGUGGACCUUAACCUUGAUUUUAGUGACCAUUAAUUCUUAGUUUGUGAUUUUGUUUUUGGUUAAUUUAUAAUAUAUUUAGGCUUUUUUAAAACCUUUAAUGUCACUAGAUAAAUUCAUAAUUUGGAUUGACUAAUAAUAGAUUUCAUUUUUAAAAAAAAAUGUAUAAUGAAGGUCAACAUUGAAUUAAGAAAAAGUUUUUAUUUAUUUAUGAAUUUGAUUUAAUUUGAUCUAAUUAUUUUUGUUUGCAUUUUUUAUUUUUUAUUUUUAUAAAUUAUAGAACUUUAGAUAUCAAUCGUGAUUAUGAAAUAGGUAAAUUGAAAAUUGAUAUAUUAUGGCCACUGAACAUAGGCCCUAAGAUUUUUCAUGCUAUAAUAAUAUUUCUUUUAAUAUCUCAUAAAUCGUAAAUUAAAAUGAAAAUAAAAUUAAGAUUGGAGUUUAUUGAAGACAUCAAAUUCAUGCUUUAAAAUAUAUAUUAAAAUGGGUCGUUUCUUUUAAUAAUAAUCAUACUAAAACAUUUUUUUUUUUUUUUUGCUUUAAUGUCUUACAAGCCACCAACGGCCAACCAGCUGUACCCAACCUUACCAACCGUGAGCCUAGCCUUUUUCAACCUAUAAAACCUAGCCCUUUGUAGCAUUGGGCCAAAAUGACCCAUGUAUUAAAAAAAAAAAAUUAGAUGUAACCAUUUUAUGAAAUUUAUAUUCAAACUAACAUCUUUGAUGCCACGAGGACUCAUGUCAUAAAAAUAUUUUUUUUUUCAAAAUUUUAAUUAAAACCUCAAUUGGUAAUUGAGGUUUCAUUUUUGAACUGAAGUCGCAAUUACUAACUGAGACUUCAGUUAUUGAACUAAAGUCACAAUUGUCAAUUGAGGUUUUAGUUAAAAAAUAAAGUUUCAAUUGACAAUUGAACUAAAGCCUCAAUUGACAACUAAAACUUCAUUUUUUUUAACUAAAACCUCAAUUGUCAACUAAGCCUUAGUUAAUUUUUUUUAACUUUAAAAUUUAGUUAAAAAUUAUUAAAUUAUAGUUUAUUAUUAAAAUUAGAAAUAUAUAUUUUAAUAAUAAAUUAUUUAUAUUUAAGCUUAAAAAUCUAAUAUUACUUCAACAAAUAUAAAUUGAUAGAUAAAAGAUAUUAUAAAUGAAUAUUUUAUUUAUUAAUAAAUUAAUAAUAUUAAAAUAAUAAAUUUAUAUAACAUAUAAAUAAGAUAUAAAAUUGUAUAAUUUAUUAAUUUAAGAUUUUUUUUUAAAGAUAUUAAUGUAUUUGUAUUAUGUUAAAUUUAUCCAUAUGUUCUCUCAUUAUGAAAGCAUAUGAGGUCAUAUAUGUUUUUUUUUUUUCAGCAUAUAAAUGUUUAAUGGGUAUUUUUUGUGACUUUGAUAAAACAACUAAAAAUUAUAUUUUGUAGUAGACUUUUUUUAACUAAUUUUGUCAAAAAAUCUAUAUAUAAAAAUUUAAGAGUAUACUGUUAUUUCAAUAAAGAUAAAUUUCUUAUAAUACAAAUAAAUCAAUGUCUUAAAAAACAACAAAUUAAAUAUCUUAAAUUAAUAAAUUAUAAAAUUUUAUAUCUUAUUUGUAUGUCAUAUAAUUUUAUUAUUUUAAAAUUAUUAAUUUAUUGAUAAAUAAAAUAUUUAUUUAUUGUAUUAUAUUUAUCAAUUUAUGUUUAUUGAAGUAAUACUAGAUUUUUAAGUUUAAAUAUAAAUAAUUUAUUAUUAAAUUAUAUAUUUUUAAUUUCAAUAAUAAGUUAUAAUUUAAUAGUUUUUAAUUAAAUUUAAAAGUUAAAAAAAAAUAUUAACUGAAGCCUCAAUUGGCAAAUACACCUUAGAAGUAUACUAUUAUUUAGAUAAAAAUAAAUUUGUCAUAAUACAAAUAAAUUAAUAUCUUAAAAAAUAACAAAUUAAAUAUCUUAAAUUAAUAAAUUAUACAAUUUUAUACCUUAUUUAUAUGUUAUAUAUAUAAAUUUAUUAUUUUAAAAUUAUUAAUAAAUAAAAUAUUCAUUUAUAAUAUCUUCUAUUUAUUAAUUUAUGUUUGUUGAAGUAAUAUUAGAUUCUUAAGUUUAAAUAUAAAUAAUUUAUUAUUAAAUUAUAGAUUUUUAAUUUCAAUAAUAAAUUAUAAUUUAGUAGUUUUUAAUUAAAUUUAAAGUAAAAAAAAAAUUAAAUGAAACCUGAAUUGGUAAUUGAAGUUUUAGUUCAAAAAUGAAGUUUCAGUUACCAAUUGAGAUUUCAGUUAAAAAUAAAGUUUCAAAUUGCGGUUUUAGUUCAAAAACUAAAGCCUCAAUUGAUAAUUACGGUUUUAGUUUAAAAAAGAAAUCUCCUCAAUUAUCAAUCUAGGUUUUUAUUAAAAGUUAAAAAAUAUAUAUAUUUAUAUGACAUGAAACUAAAGAUGCUAGUUCGAAUAUAAGCUGGAUAAAGUGGUUAGAUGUAAUAUAUUUUUUUUAAUAAAUGGGACAUUUUGACCCAAAACUCUUGAGCUGCAACCAGCCAUACCAAAGACACCCUGCACUAGCCGUCCGUAAUCCUCUACUGCAGCUUCGUUUUAGCUGCCCGAGGCGUCUCAAAUCAGCCCCAUCAAGUUGUCCACUCUCCCUGCUAUGAGCUUGGAAAUAAUCCAAGUCUUCCCAACCGGGAAGACUCUAGCUAGCUUCCAAUACGAAGACUCUAGCUAGCUUCCAAUACAUCAAUACUGAUUUUCUUGAGCUGCAUGUGAUGGUUCUUUUCAUAUUAUUAAUUAACGCCAUUGACUGGUCAUCUUCCCUGACAAUUCAUCAGUUAAAAUCACUGGUUUCAAGGGUACACCCAGCCACCAAUGCAAUAGCAAUACGGAGAAGACUGGGUCCAUGUGAGUAAUUGAUAGGCUUUUUUUUUUUUUUUGGUUUUGGUACGCAGAAAAAGAGGAGUUUUGGGUCAAAAUGCCGUAUAUUAAAAAAAAAAAAUAUUACAUCUAAUUAUUUUAUGAAACUUAUGUUCAAAUGCUUUGUAGGAAUCAUGUCAUAAAUUUUUUUUUUUUUAAAUUUUAGUAAAAGUCUCAAUUAAUAAUUAGGGUUUCAAUUUUGAAUUGAAAUUGUAAUUGUCAGUUGAGGCUUUGGUUUUUGAACUAAAGCUAUAGUUGUUAACUGAGACUUCAUUUUUUAACUGAAACCUCACUUGACAAAUACUUUAUUUUUAAACUAAAGCCUUAAUUGACAAUUAAGACUUUUUAUUUUAUUUUAAAAUUUAGGUAAAAGCUAUUAAAUUAUAGUUUAUUAUUGAAAUUAGAAAUAUAUAUUUUAAUAAUAAAUUAUUUAUAUUUAAGCUUAAGAAUCUAGCAUUAUUUUAAUAAACAUAAAUUGAUAGAUAGAAGAUAUUAUAAAUGAAUAUUUUAUUUAUUAAUAAAUUAAUAAUAUUAAAAUAAUAAAUUUAUAUAACAUAUAAAUAAGAUAUAAAAUUGUAUAAUUUAUUAAUUUAAGAUAUUAAUUUGUUGUUUUUUUAAAGAUAUUAAUUUAUUUGUAUUAUGUCAAAUUUAUUCAUAGGUUCUCUCCUUGUGGAGGCAUAUUAUGUUAUAUAUGUUUUUUUUUUAGCAUAUAAAUGUUUAGUGAAUAUUUUUUAUGACUUUGAAAAAACUACUAAAAAUCAUAUUUUUUAGUAGACUUUUUCUAACUAAUUUUGUCAAAAAGUCUAUAUAUAGAAACUUAAGAGUAUACUAUUAUUUCAAUAAAGAUAAAUUUUUCAUAAUACAAAUAAAUUAUUAUCUUAAAAAACAACAAAUUAAAUAUCUUAAAUUAAUAAAUUUUAAAAUUUUAUAUCUUAUUUGUAUGUCAUAUAAAUUUAUCAUUUUAAGAUUAUUAAUUUAUUGGUAAAUAAAAUAUUCAUUUAUUGUAUUGUAUUUAUCAAUUUAUGUUUAUUGAAAUAAUACUAGAUUUUUAAGUUUAAAUAUAAAUAAUUUAUUAUUAAAAUAUAUAUUUUUAAUUUCAAUAAUAAGUUGUAAUUUAAUAGUUUUUAAUUAAAUUUGAAAGUAAAAAAAAAGCCUCAGUUAACAACUACGGCUUAGGAGUAUACUAUUAUUUCGAUAAAGAUAAAUUUAUCAUAAUACAAAUAAAUUAAUACCUUAAAAAAUAACAAAUUAAAUAUCUUAAAUUAAUAAAUUAUAUAAUUUUAUAUAUUAUUUAUGUGUUAUAUAAAUUUAUUAUUUUAAAAUUAUUAAUUUAUUAAUAAAUAAAAUAUUUAUUUAUAAUAUCUUUUAUUUAUCAAUUUAUGUUUGUUGAAGUAAUACUAGAUUCUUAAGUUUAAAUAUAAAUAAUUUAUUAUUAAAGCAUAGAUUUUUAAUUUCAAUAAUAAAUUAUAAAUUAAUAGUUUUUAAUUAAAUUUUAAAAAAAAAAAAUUGAAGCCUCAGUUGAUAAUUGAGACUUUAAUUCAAAAAUAAAGGCUUCAGUUAAAAAAUAAAGUCUCAAUUGAUUAUUUCGAUUUUAGUUUAAAAACUAAACCUCAAUUGAUAUUUACGGUUUUAAUUUAAAAAUGAAACAUCAGUUACUAAUUGAGACUUUCAUUAAAAUUUUGAAAAAAAAUAUAAUUCUAUGAUACUACUUCUACGUGACAUCAAAAAAGUUGUUUGAAAAUAAAGUGGUUAAAUCUAUUUUAUUUUUUAUCCUGGGCCAUUUUGACCCAAAACUCGAAAAAGAGAGUCGGCAAUUUAUUUGUAUGGCCCACACGAAAUUGAUGAAUCCAUCGCCUUAGAAAUAUGACAUCCAUCAAACUCAGGCAAUCUCCACCGCAUGAAUUUUAAAAGCCACAGCAAUUGGGGAUAUUCUACCGUGGAAGAUGGCAUCAUUUUACAUUCUACUGAGGCCAAUAUCUAUGCUUCGUGGUUCUCUGGAACCAAUCAUGUAUUGCCUUGAACCCUUGAGAGAGAACAUGUGAUAUGCCCACGUCUUUUUAUUUACGCACAUUCCUACUACUUUUCUUUGUUUUUAUUGUAUAAGGUUGGAGGGUGGUCUAUGUAUUGACUCGGUAUGUAUGCUUGACUACAAACUCGAUGGUAGUUCAUAUGAGUGGAUCCUAAUAUUGUUGCAGCAAUUUGCCGAUUUCAGAGAAAAGAGAGAGAGAGAUAAUGGUCGACCCAGAAAUAACUGGAGGGAUUGCAGCGAGUACUUUGAGCUUUCUUCUAGUAAAACUCGAUGCUUUUGCAAUUAGAGAAUGGAAAUUGCAGGAAAAUAUCAAAAAGUCUGUCCAAAAUUUAGGAUGCGAGCUGAGGAACAUUCAGGCCAUGCUGAGAGAUGCUGAUUCAAAGGAAGAGCAUAGUCACCAAUUUACGGUCUGGAUUAAAGAGGUCCGCGAUCAAGCUUAUGCAAUCGAGGAUGCUCUUGACCUGUUCAAACUCAAACAAGAAUCAGUGUGGCGCCGCCUGAAACUGCGUCACUCCAUCAACGACUUGAUACAGGAUAUUGAGCGGAGUCUCCAAAACAUUCAGCGGACAAAGGAGAGGUAUCGCAGCAUGGCCUCCUAUUCAACCAAUGCUGGCAACAACACAUACCUUCAUGUGAGAGUGGCUCCUUUGUUCAUAGGUAACGUUGAUACCGUGGGCAUUGAGGAGCCUACAAAUAAGCUGGUUUCCUGGGCCUUGGAACCGAAACAGAGGCUUGAGGUGAUGUUUGUGGUGGGGAUGGCUGGACUGGGGAAGACCACUCUUGUCCACAGCGUGUAUGAGAGCGUGAAACAGAACUUUGAUUGCCAUAUCUGGAUCACUGCUUCAAAGUCCAAAACCAAACUCGAUAUCUUACGGACCUUGUUGGUGGAGAAAUUCGGCUGUACAAUCACACAGGGGGGCGAUGUGGUUGCUCUGACGCAUAAGCUGAGAAAAUUUCUCCACAACAAACGGUAUGUCAUAGUUCUUGAUGACUUAUGGGUAAAAGAUGUUUGGGAGUCCAUUAGACUUGCCUUGCCAAAUGGUAAGGACAGUAGAAUAAUUAUCACUACAAGGAGAGGCGAUAUAGCUAAUUCUUGGAGAGAUGAUGAUUCUGUUGAUAUCCACAUGCUUCAGCCACUGUCACCGGAAAGGGCUGAGAAACUCUUCUAUAAGAAAGCUUUCUCAAGAAAUGGCAGAUGUCCUUCAGGCUUGGAGGAAGUCUCGAAAUCCAUCUUACAGAAAUGUGAUGGAUUACCACUUGGGAUUAUUGAAAUCGGUAGACUUUUAUCCAUCAAGGCUCCAACUAAAAAUGAGUGGAAAAUAUUACAUGAUAGCCUUGAGUCUGAAUUGAGAGGCAGUGGUGGCCUUUCAAAUAUUACGAAAGUGCUGUCUGCAAGUUAUAAUGAUUUACCUUUCCAUCUCAAGUAUUGUUUCUUGUACAUGAGCAUCUUUCCUGAGACUAGCCCAGUUAAGCGAAGAAGGCUAAUUCGGCUAUGGAUAGCUGAAGGGUUUGUAAUAGAGAAAGGAGGCAAGACAUCUGAAGAGGUUGGGGAAGAGUAUCUGAAUGAGCUGAUUGACAGGAGUCUGAUAAAGGUAAAUGAAAUGGAUUUUGAAGGAAGGCCAAAAAGUGUGGGAGUUCAUAGUCUGAUGCUGAAGAUGAUUCUCUCAGGUGGUGUUUGUUUUUUUGGCUUUUUGCUGAAAACCAUUUAGUUUUAGAAUUUAGGUUGUUUGUUUUUUUACUUUUUCAUGACUUAUUAUAAACUUUUUACUAAAUAGAAAAAGCUAAAAUAUGUGGCUUUUUCUAAAUAGAAAAAAUAACACAAUGAUUUUUUUUACUUUUUAAUACUUAAUAGAAAUAAAAUACUACAAAAACAAACAACCUAAUAUUUAAGACUAUUAAGUAUUAAGGUUCUAUUUAGAAUUAAGUAAAAAAACAAACACCACCUCAGUCUCACGAGAGGAGAACUUUUGUUCUGUUUGUACAGGAUCAGAAAGGAACUUGAGUGAGAAAACCCGGCGCCUAUCUAUUCAGAAGGAAGAUUUUGAUGUGUCUCAGGACUUACCCUGUGUUCGAACCUUCUUCAGUUUCGGUAUAGGCAAAGUAAAGAUUGGUUCCAACUUCAAACUAUUGAAGGUCUUGGACAUACAGGGCACUCCUUUGGAAGAAUUUCCGGGUGUAAUUAAAGAUCUUCUGCUCUUGAGGUACUUGAGUUUGAGGAAUACAAAUAUAAGGAGCAUUCCAGGGACCCUGGGUGACCUUCAUCACCUUGAGACCUUGGAUCUUAAGCAGACUCUGGUAACAAAAGUACCCAAAGCAGUCCUACAACUUGAGAAACUUCGCCAUUUGCUGGUUUAUCGCUACAAUAUGGAAAGUGCCCUACCUUUUGAUAUUGUGCAGGGGUUCAAGGCACCAAAGAGGAUCGGCGCAUUGAAGAACCUACAAAAGCUGUCAUUUGUAAAGGUGAGUGGGCAGCACAGAAUGAGUCGGGAGCACAGAAUGAUACAAGGGCUCGACAAUCUUACGCAGUUGAGGAAGCUGGGCAUUGUAGAACUAGCAAAAGAACGUGGGGCGAGCUUGUGCCUCUCAAUUGAAAAGAUGCCAAAUCUCCACUCCUUGAAUGUAACCUCUCUUAAUAAGGAGGAGCCUCUGGAGCUUGAUGCAAUGACCAAUCCACCGCCCCUUCUUCAACGCUUGUACCUCAAAGGGCCCUUGAAUAGGUUUCCACAGUGGGCAACUUCUCUACAUGACCUGGAGAGAAUACGCCUAAAAUGGUCUUCACUCACAGAAAACCCGAUUGCAGCUCUUCAAAACCUCCCAAAUCUGACAGAGUUGCAGUUGCUUGAUGCAUAUACUGGAACCCAGUUGGACUUCAACUCCGGAAAAUUUCCGAAGCUGAAGAUAUUAGACCUUCAGCAAUUGGAACAGGUGAGGUCUAUCAUGAUGGAAGAAGGCACAUUGCCUUGCCUACAGAAGCUGAUCAUAAGCCACUGCAGCAGGCUGGUGCAGGUCCCUAGAGGUAUUGACAAGCUCAUUCACCUCCAAAUGCUGCUGUUGUACGAUAUGCCCGGAACAUUUGUGACCGGGCUGAGGAAAAACGGUGGUCAAUUUCGCCGUUUGGUUCACCAUAUUCCAUGUAUUCAUUCAUAUAACCAGGCCCAGUUGGAAGAUCUUUCUUGAUCAUUAUACAUCUACGAGGAAGAAUCAGGUCUGUAGAACAACCUGAAUUCAUCGUUUCCUUCUUCUAGAUUCCCCAAAACGUACUGUUGGAUUGCUAUUUCUUUUCUAGGAUUACUGCAUUUUCCUAGGAAACUAUGUAUGGUGCAAUUGAGUAUGAAAUUAUGUCCUCAAUCAAAGGUAUCAUUUUACUAUUAUUUUACAAAGGUAUCAUUUUAUUUAUACGAUGAAGACAUUUGAUUAUACAUAUUUACUUUUUUCUAAAAUUUUAUUUAUUUUUAGUGUUUUUUUAUUUUUUAUUUUUAGCUUUCCAAGUAAUAUGCUCAGCAUAAAAUUCCAUAUUGAUCUAAAAUGAGCCUGAUGGGUCUAUAUAAAGAUCUCUCAUGUAAAAGAUCAAUUUACAAGGAAUACUGGUUAUGUUUGAAAGUAGUUUUAUAUUCUUUAAAAAUAUAAAACAGUUUUUUUAACUUAAAAAACGCUUUCAUCUUGAUUUGAUAUAGCAUGAUGGGUUUAUCUAAAGAUCUUUCGAGUCAAACAUCAAUUAGAAGGAAUAUCGGUCAUGUUUGAAAAUAGUUUUAUAUUCUUUUAAGAAGAUAAGUUAAACAGUUUUUUAACCUAAAAACUAUGAUUGAAAAUUUUCAGGAAUUUGUAGAGUUUGUUUAAAAAAUAAUUUGUUUUUUUUAUAUCUUUAAGAAUUCUUUUCAAAAAAAAAAAUCUCUAAAUCUUAAAACAUCCCUCUAGCUUAAAGAUGACUUUUAGAAAAUUUUACAACUUUUCCUAAUAAAGUCUAGUUCAGAACAUCCAGAAGAGUUAUAUGUAUUCUUCAUAAUCAAAAGAUGUCCGAGAAUCACUUUUAAUAUAAAAAACGUUUUUCUAAAAAAAUAAAAUGUUUCACAAAAUUCAAAAAUCAUUUUUAAAAAAUUGAAGAAUUGUUUAGAGUGUUUUUUUUUUUAAAUUUUUUAUAAAUGUUUAAUAAGUGAUUCUCCUAAAAACUCUUUAAAAAAAACAUUUAAGUAAAAAUUCUUCUGAUAAAAAUAUUAUCAAACAUACUCUAAUUCCUUAUGCUUGAAGCUUCCAAUGCAAUUCAUUGAAAGUAUUUUCCAUAUGACUUCUCCACAAAAUAUUUCUUUAAACUUAAAACUAAAAGUCAUAUUUUUAAAAAAAGAAAAAUAAAUUCUUGACAUGUAUAGGAUAUGAGAUUUUUGUUCUAACACUAGGUUAAAGUUAAGAAUGCAAAAAAAAAAACCUGACCAUUAAGUCAAAUUUAAAUCUUGAUUAAAAAAAAACCAUUAAAAUAAAUUUGCUCUACUUUGUCUCCACCCUCUUACAUUUCUUCCACCCUCUCCCCCAUCCUAUAGAUGUACCACUGUAGUAUUUUUGGAGAGGUUAACUUGCAAAGUAAGGAAAGCUUUUUUUUAAAGGACACUUCUCCACUUGUUUGUCCAAUCGGGAUAGAAACAUAAAAUUUGCUACCAAUGAUGAAGAAAAGUAAACAGAGUGUAAGAAAACAUUUCAUGUUUAAUCUAAAAAUUACAAUCCCAACAAAAAUAUAAAAAAUCAUGUCAAUCUGGUCAAUGGAAAAGGAAACAUAGAAGAACUUAUGAUGAUUCAGUUCUUCUAUAUGAUUCAGUUCUUCUAUGUUCUGCGUGUUAGUAUUGAUGUGAAUGACACGUCUAUAAAAUCUUAGCUACUUUAUAGAGAGAUUUGUUUAUACUAUCAUUUCAAUUUUUUAUUUUUGCAUAUUACAUUUUAUUGGGUAUUGAGUAUUGUUGUGAUGUUAUAGUAUUAGCAAUAUGUUAUUAUUUCAUAAUUAUACUUUUCUAUUUUGAAUAGUUUUAUAUUAAUUUAGCUUCAAUUUUUAUGAUAAUGGAGAUGAAGAAUAAUGAACAAUAUUAAAGAGAAUAUUAGCAACAUCCAACUAUAAGAACUAACUUGAGCAUUACAAGCAUUGUCCCCACUUGUCUUCACCUUUUAAAAAAGGUUAGAUUUUCAAGAAUCUCAACCCAAUAAUUAUGUUUUUUAGGUUGGGUAGCAAAAGUCAUACGGAGAGAGAAAAGUGAUAAAAAAAAGUUCACCAAUCAAAUGGAAAUAGAUUGUUAUUAUUACUGGAUUAACUUGGUCAUUAGAUUUAAAAUAGUACAUAAUAUCAUUGUGGAAUUUGCAUGCUUGGAAGGAAGAAGUCUUGUUCUUUCCAAAGGAAUUAAUGGGAGACAGGGCAAAAUGCCUGUAAGGAAAUGAUAGUAACUUUUGAAAAAGUGGGCUAUAAAGUAAAGGAGAAUUGUGAAAAAUUAAUAUUUGGUCCAUAUAAUUUUCAUAAUUGAUAGAAAUGAUAUAAGAUGUUAAAAGACCAACAUAUCUUUCAAAUUUCUAUACAUUACCUUUUUAAUUUCUAAAGUUUUACUAAAAAAUUGUACUGACAAUUUUCUUGUUAUGAAUUAAAAUACUUUGCAUUAGUCUAUCUGGAUAAGAAAAAUUAUUAAUAUAAUAUUAAAACUUCAUAUCUUAGUUAUUUUUUUCAAUAAAUUUAUCUUUUUGGAUAUAUAUAUAUAUAAUAGAGUAAAGUGAUAGUCAAUUUUAAAAUUUUUAAAAAUAUGGUUAAUGUAGAAAAUAUAAAAAAUAUUUCAAUGAAAAAUCCCAAAAUUUUUAUCAUUGCUUAUAAUAAGAGCAAAAAGAUUCAAUAUCUUUAAAAAUGAAAAACAAAAAAAACAUUAUUACUUUUUAUUUGACAUAAAAUAGAAAUAUAGAUUGGAAGAAAAAAAAAUUAGAAAUGAGUAAUACUUAAUAGAGAAUAGAAAAGGGAAAAAAAAACACAAAAAAAUUGAAAUUCAGACUUACUUGUACCUAUAUAAGGGUUAAGGGUAUUUUAGGGAUUAAUGAAGAAUAAUAUCUUUUAUCUUAAUUUUCAUACUUUGUUUGGGUCUUGGGCUUAAAUAUGCAUGAUAUAUGGACCAAAUGUUAAUUUUUGGGCCCAACUGGACCCAAAACACAAUUCUCCCAUAAAGUAACGUGAAUUUGAAAUAAUUGAUUUGGAAUCCUAUCACCUAGAAAAUGAUUACUCCUUGGGUUAUAAAUUAAAAUGAAUUUGAAAAAAUUCAUUGGAUUCUCAUUACUUUUUUAAAAGGCUGAAUUUGAGUUGACCCAAAAUAAUUUACUUCCAUCAAAAGUAAAUUAUAAGAAUAAAGGCAAGAAAAAAGAAAAUUGGUAUGCACCAUUUAUCUUUUUACUUUGGAUUGGAUAAAUUUUGUAAAAUCAUAUUUUCCUUUUACUAUAUUUUGUAAUGUUAAUAGCAACUAACUUUCAAAAUAAUGGAAAUUAAUUUGUAUAUAAGCUUAUUUGAGUACUUCCAUAUUUUUUUUAUAAUUGAGAAUUUUUUAAAGAUUUUUUUUAAGUAUUAGCUUUUAUAUUUAUUAUUAUUAUUUUUCAUAAAAUAAUAAAUUGUAAGAAAAGAGGAGAAGAACAAGAAGGAAAAUUUAUAAUUUUUUAAUUUAUUUAGAUAUUUAUAAAAAAUAAGAAAAAGAAAAUUAAAUUGUUGAAGCUUCCCAAGCUUUUUGACUGUUAUCUAACAAAUAAUAAUAAUAAUAAUAAUAAGGAACUUCCUUAAAGCAAUGUUAUCAAAAAAUAGAAUCACAUUAGUUAAGCUCAUUUUUUUCUAAUAUAAUAAUAGCAAUUAUAGUUACUUUUUUUUUUUUUUAUUCAACUUAUUUUAAAUAGGGCGUGUGCUUAUGCAAUUAUAUUUAUUUAUUUUUCUAGAAAGAUUAAUAUAUUUAUUUAUUUGUUUAUUGUGGUUAUCUCAAAAUGAUGUCUUAUUUUCUAUUUAAAUAUUGGUAUAUAUGAAAGAUAAAGUUUAAGUAUUCAUUAAUUACGAAUUCAAUUCAACUUACUCCAAUCCAAAUUUUACCCAUAUAACCCAAAAAGCUUGUCUAAUAUGUUAGACCCGUCCAAAUUAUAGUCUUAAUUUUAAAGUCAUAUUGAUUGGUUCAUCCGUUUAUAAAAACAUAGUUAAAUAAAAUUACUUGAAAAUGAAAUUAGUAUUUAGGGCAUUGUAUCAUAAACUUGUACAAAAAAUCCUUCUGAGAAUUAGAUUUUGGUACAGUUAGAUUUUGAAGAGUUUCAAGCCAAUCAAUUUUUUUACUUUUUAUUUUUGAAAGUAGGGUAGAUUGGAAUUUUGUUAUUUUUCAUUAAAAAAACUAAAAAGGCAAAGUGAAUGCAAUACAUUAAAAAAAAAAAAAAAACUUAAUCCUAAUUAUGAAAUCUAAACCUAAUAUUUAUUUAUUUGAAAUGGGUUAGGCGUUGGUGAAUAAUUGAACAUCAUGUGAAGGUUUUUAAUUCAACAUGUAGUGAUAUUGUCAUUUGCCCCCUUCUUUUCUAACAAAAUAAUUUGAUGGAGUUUAAUCCCGAUUAUGCUCGUUAGUAAUCUUAUAAUAUCUCAUAUUUGUGAUCAAAACAUAAAUAUUCAUAUUCAAAGUUUGUAUGAUACGAGAAAAUGAGAAGAAUUAUGGAGACAUGUUUUAAAGUUAGGAACCAAAAAAGAGUAAUUUGAAUUUGUAUUCUUGCUUUUCGUAAUAAUCAAUCCAUGCAUUGAACUCAUGUGUUCAAGAUUAAACUAAUCUAACCCUAUGUCCAAUCCAAACUAUCCGAUCCAAGCUCAACUUCUUAUCAUUCCCAUGACACUCAAAAGCAACAAUAUCAUAUACAAAUAAAUUGAAAUUUAUGUAAAAUAUAUAUCACGUUCAAAUUGGCCUUAGGUUGUCCAAAACCCAAACCCAAAGCCCAGUUUAAUUUAAUUAGAGCAAUAAUAAAAUAAUUCCAAUAAUUACAAUUAAUUUAUAGCAAUUAAAUAAAAAUUUCACAGGAGUAAAAAUUAUUUCCAAUAAAUAUAUUAUAAAGUCAUGUAAAAGUUGCUAGUUACCCCUCUAGUAAAAAGUAUACAUUUAUUUAUCCCACUUUAAAAAAAAUGAUAGUAGUGAAAUCCAUGAACAAAAUUUAAUUAUCAUAUUCUUAAAAAGCACCCAAGAUCCCAAACCAUGAAUUAUAUUUAGGGAUGAUAAUAGGGUGGGUUUAAGACGAGUCGCCCCAUCCCAACCCCGUCCCAUUUAUUUAAAAUAAUUUUCAUCCCCGUCUCAUUUAAAAAAUUAAAUUGGACAGGGCGGGCCGGGAUGGGUAUAAGCAACUCCCUGCCCCGCCUUCGUUUAAUUUUUUUUUUUAAAUUACUUUUAAUAUUUUAAUUACAUUAAAGUAAAUAUAUUUUAUAAAUAAUUAAAUUAUUACAUUUUUUAUGACUUAUUUUAUUAAAAAAUACUUUAUUAUUAUCUAUAGUAGAAUAAAAAUUAAUUUAAUUUAAUUUUAAAAAAUAAUUUUAUAUACAAUUGUAGGGUGGGAUUGGACAAGGCAAUACCUGAACUCAUCCCAAACUCAUCUUGGGUUUAAAAAAAAAAUUUCAAAUCCGUUUAGUUAAAAUUCAAACAUGUUCCAUUAGGGGCAGGAUGGGUACUCGAAAAACCCGUCCCAUUGUCAUUCCUAAUUAUAUUACACCUCUGUGAUCAAAUAAAUAAAAAGAUACGUUUAAUCACAUAUUUAAUUAAUUUUUUAAAAAUAAAAGAAGUUGGGUCGUUGGACCAAAGCACAAAAGUGAGAAGCGCAUAUCUGAGCCCAUUAAAUUUGGGCUUUAACAUUGCCAGUAUGUUAGCCUACAACAAAUUCAAACUCCAAACUCCAAACUCCACCGUCAGAUCCCCAGGCACCAUCUAUGCGUAUCUCUCCCUCUAAACAAUCUCCUCCAUUUUCACGCCAUGCAUAAAGCAACAAUCCCGAGAGAAAAUAGUCUCUCAUUGCUAUAUAUAUUGUCGGAGACUGAUUUUCUUGCCUAAUUUGGAUUUUAAAAUUUCAUGCAUCUCAUUUUGAUCACAAACCUGAGAAAAGCCCCAUAUAAAAAUAACACAAGUAUUACAAAAUAAAUAAGUAUUAAAAAAAAAAAAAGAAUUAUGAACAAAUCUCAAUAUCAAAUAUGAACAACAAACACUAGAUUUAGUGGUUCACAAUAAUUUUAGGUAUGUACGUCAACAUAAGAACGAUAAAGUACAACAAACUAGAGGAGUAGAAUAGAAUACUCAUUUUUCAUCCAAAAUGAUUCCAUCAAAGUAACAAAUUAUGCCAACCUUAUCAUUGAAGAAACCUAAAAGAACAAGUACUAGAAAGGUUGUGAGGAGAUUUGAGCAAUAAUUGUAGUGAACGAAAGUUGAUACUAGAUUUGAAUUCUACUUCUAUUUAAAAGCUAAAUGCACUUCCAUGGCAUGCAAAGAGAUUCCAAAAGCUUUAAAUAAACUGAAUGGUUCUUUGAAGCAUGAUUGAAGCUUCUAAAAGUGUCAAAAAUAGAGAUUCACAAAGAAUUUUGAAUUCAUUCUUCCUUUCUUAAUCAAACCCUCUCUAGGUCCAUAAGUUGUACUAAAGAGCUUUUGAAUGUCAACAAUGAAUGACAAGGUUAUGAAAUAUGAGGUUAUCUUCCACUAAAAAUCAUUCCAAGGAUAGUUUGAUUAAACUUGAUCCACACCUAUAAUGCCCCUAUAAAAAAAAAAAAAAAAUAGAAUUGAGUCAGUUUAAGAAUGAUAGCUCCUAUAUUGACAUGUAAACGGUACCAUAAAAACACUCGUAACACACCUUUCAUGCACAUCUUGAACAUGUAGAUCAAUCAUCCAAGAUUGGCUUCUCCCACUAUUUCAAACUAUUGAAGGUUUUGGACAUACAAAGCACUCCUUUAGGAAACUUUACAAGUGCCAUCAUAGAUCUUCUGCUCUUGAGAUACUUGAGUUUGAGGAAUACAAAUAUAAGGAGCAUCCCCAAAUCCCUCAGGAACCUACGGCACCUUGAGACCUUGGAUCUUAAGCAAACUCUGGUAAAAGAGCUACCCAAAGCAGUCUACAACUUGAUAAACUUCGCCACUUGCUGGUUUAUGCCUACAAUAUGGGAAGUGUUGUAACUUUUGACGCCGUUUAAGGGUUCGCUGUACCGAGAAAGAUCGGAGCAAUGAAGAACCUGCAAAAGCUAUCAUUUGUAAAGGCGAGAAGGCAGAACAGAAUGAUACAGGAGCUCAAAAAUCUGACAAAGCUGAGGAAGCUGGGCAUUGUAGAACUAGCAGAAGAAGAUGGCAACAGCUUGUGUCACUCAAUUGAGAAGAUGCCGGAUCUCCUUUCCUUGGAUGUUACCUCCCUUAGUAAGGGGGAGCCUCUGGAGCUUGAUCCAAUGGCCAACCCCCGCGUCUUCUUCAACGCCUGUAUCUCAAAGGGCACUUGCAAAGGUUGCAAAGUGGGUAUCUUCUCUUCAUGACCUGGUGAGAAUACGCCUAAAAUGGUCCUUAUUGUCCCAAGACAACCCAAUUGAAGCUCCUCAAGAUCUCCCAAACCUGAUGGAGCUGCAGUUACUUGAUGCAUACACUGGAACCCAGUUGGACUUCAACUCGGGAAAAUUUCAGAAGCUUAAGAUAUUAGACCUUGAGCAAUUGAAACAGCUGAGGUUUAUCAUAAUGGAAGAUGGCACAUUGCCUUGCCUACAAAAGCUGAUCAUAAGGCAAUGCAAUGAGCUGAAACAUGUCCCCGUAGGUAUUGACGGGCUCCAUCAUCUUAAUGAGCUGCAC